Molecule: transfer RNA, 69 nt
Filed under: Urocitellus parryii (Arctic ground squirrel)
Lineage: Eukaryota; Metazoa; Chordata; Mammalia; Rodentia; Sciuridae
Also listed under: 2 other names
Description: Spermophilus parryii (Arctic ground squirrel) tRNA
Rfam family: tRNA
About the family: Transfer RNA (tRNA) molecules are approximately 80 nucleotides in length.
Source: Rfam by way of RNAcentral
GGGGUUGUGGCUCAGAGGUAGAGCACUCACCUAGCAUGCGUGAGGCACAGGGUUCGAUCCUCAACACCA